UGGGGAAUCUUGGACAAUGGGGGCAACCCUGAUCCAGCCAUGCCGCGUGAGUGAUGAAGGCCUUAGGGUCGUAAAGCUCUUUCGCCUGUGAAGAUAAUGACGGUAGCAGGUAAAGAAACCCCGGCUAACUCCGUGCCAGCAGCCGCGGUAAUACGGAGGGGGUUAGCGUUGUUCGGAAUUACUGGGCGUAAAGCGCACGUAGGCGGACCAGAAAGUUGGGGGUGAAAUCCCGGGGGCUCAACCCCGGAACUGCCUCCAAAACUAUUGGUCUAGAGUUCGAGAGAGGUGAGUGGAAUUCCAAGUGUAGAGGUGAAAUUCGUAGAUAUUUGGAGGAACACCAGUGGCGAAGGCGGCUCACUGGCUCGAUACUGACGCUGAGGUGCGAAAGUGUGGGGAGCAAACAGGAUUAGAUACCCUGGUAGUCCACGCCGUAAAACGAUGUCUGCUAGUCGUUGGGGGGCGUAGCCCUUCAGUGACGCCGGCUAACGCAUUAAGCAGGACCGCCU
RNAcentral lists this ribosomal RNA (506 nucleotides) under uncultured bacterium. Its description in RNAcentral is "bacterial SSU rRNA". It matches the Rfam family "Bacterial small subunit ribosomal RNA", at positions 355 to 874 of the family's 1533-position model. The record is from RNAcentral.